RNAcentral lists this long non-coding RNA (472 nucleotides) under Cyanistes caeruleus (blue tit). RNAcentral describes it as "lncRNA (ENSCCEG00000007646.1)". The record is from RNAcentral. Lineage: Eukaryota; Metazoa; Chordata; Aves; Passeriformes; Paridae.
AAAAAAAUUGGGGAACCAAAUCAGAUCAGAUUGGAAGAUACACCUGUCAGAGUAAUGACCUGACAGAUUUGGAAGAGCAGCCCUAGGUGCAAAGAGCAGGAUUGUGGAGGUCACUGCAGCAUGAGCCUGGGAUGCCUCAGCCUUAAAUGGGAUCAUCCGAGCUUGGAAUGGGGCUGUGUGUUCCUCCUCCUCAUAGCUGUUGACAUAAAGGAAAAGCAGGUUUGAAGAUGCCCUCAGCUGGACACCAGCCAGGAGAUUUCCAGCGCUGCUGCCCAGGUUCUGUGUGCAGGCAGAUGUUCUGCCUCAGCUGCUGCUGAUCCAGGUUACCCUUCCUGUCCAUCACAGGCACUUCACUCAUGCCCUAAAACCUCCAGAUAGAAGGAGGUUAUGUCAAAAGAUGUGGCAAAUCUGAGGAAGUGGAAGGGAAAAGGGAUUGGUGACACAAUCUCUGCAGGAAUGUGAUGGGUCACAA